GGCAUGCCUAACACAUGCAAGUCGAACGGUAACAGGUCUUCGGAUGCUGACGAGUGGCGCACGGGUGAGUAACGCGUGGAUAUCUACCUAUUAGUGGGGGACAACUUUCGGAAACGGAAGCUAAUACCGCAUAAUCUCUACGGAGGAAAGCAGGGGACCUUUCGGGGCYUUGUGCUGAUAGAUGAGUCCGCGUCUGAUKAGCUAGUUGGUAGGGUAAAAGCCUACCAAGGCGAUGAUCAGUAGCUGGUUUGAGAGGAUGAUCAGCCACACUGGAACUGAGACACGGUCCAGACUCCUACGGGAGGCAGCAGUGGGGAAUUUUGCACAAUGGGGGAAACCCUGAUGCAGCGAUGCCGCGUGUGGGAAGAAGGCUUUCGAGUUGUAAACCACUUUCAAUUGGGAAGAAGGGAUGAGUGUUAAUAACACUCUGACUUGACGGUACCUUUAGAAGAAGCACCGGCUAAUUUCGUGCCAGCAGCCGCGGUAAUACGAAAGGUGCAAGCGUUGUUCGGAUUUACUGGGCGUAAAGAGAUCGUAGGUGGUUUGAUAAGUUGGAUGUGAAAUCCCGGGGCUCAACCUCGGAACUGCAUCCAAAACUGUCAGACUUGAGUUCGGGAGGGGUAAGCGGAAUUCCGUGUGUAGCAGUGAAAUGCGUAGAUAUACGGAGGAACACCUGAGGCGAASGCGGCUUACUGGACCGAUACUGACACUGAGGAUCGAAAGCGUGGGUAGCAAACAGGAUUAGAUACCCUGGUAGUCCACGCCCUAAACGAUGUCAACUAGCCGUUGCGGGUAUCGACCCCUGCAGUGGCGCAGCUAACGCGAUAAGUUGACCGCCUGGGGAGUACGGUCGCAA
Molecule: ribosomal RNA, 856 nt
Filed under: uncultured Zetaproteobacteria bacterium
Lineage: Bacteria; Pseudomonadati; Pseudomonadota; Candidatius Mariprofundia
Description: bacterial SSU rRNA
Rfam family: Bacterial small subunit ribosomal RNA
Source: RNAcentral